UUGAAAAUAUUAAGAGGACUUAAUUUAAUAUUACAAAAGAUUUUAAGUUAACUCAACAUGUAAUUUAGUGCAAUGGGCUUAACAUAAGUGUAAUAAUUAUGCAAAGCAAUUUACAUUGGAAUUUUUUUAAGUUAAAUUCACUCAAGUUUUCAUUAUACACUACUUACAUUUUUUAGGGCAACCAGUUUCCUCACAUUUUCUAAGUAAAUUCAACUCAUCCGGGCUUACAGUGUAAAUAAAUACUCACCUCUUGGAAAAACUUCAUCUGCUGAGUUGCCUUUCUACAACCUUCCUAGACAGUUGUGCAAACUCCUUUACAAACAUUGAGAUUGACAUUUCCUUCCAUGUAUCUAGCAAUGUGGAAAAUUCCAAGCUUUGGUCUGCAGGGACUCUGACUUUUUCUGAUGAAGUCCAAUCAAUCAAUGUGAACACUAGUGUGCCAAUUUGUAAGUGUGAAACUGCUGUUGCUUUUUCAGAUACAGGCAGAUCCCAGUCUCUCCUCCUCCAGUGGUUCAAAUUGGAGUAUUGUUACUGAUAAAACAGUUAUCCUGUUUUGAUCAGAGUUAUCAAACCUUCCUGCUGCUUCUGGUCAUCUCAGUAAGUUCCUCUCGUCUCUGACUCACUGUUUGCUAUCUGUCAGGGGCCUGUACCAGAAAGAAGGUUCAACAAAUUCUCAGGCUGUUUUUGAAACAUCUACUAUACUUGAUUAUGUACUAAUUUCUCUGGCAAAAUAUUCAGUAGCUCAUCAGACCAGUCUUCGCUGACUGUUUCCCACAAUGCAAAGCGCCAGGUCAAAGAUUGAAAAGAUGGACAGGUAUGGUUGAUUAAAAGUUACAUUAAGUUGACCUCUUUUAUAGGCCUAGUUCUAUAACAUAAUUUGGUUUGUAAACUGGAGGUACUUAUGUGCAUGUAUGGACAUUGAUGACUCUCUUAAUUAUGAGUGGGUGAAGUCUGCCAGUCUUGCUAAAAAUUACAUUAAUCCUGAGACUUGCAGGCAAAGAUUCCGCUCCCUGGAUGUCAACCCUGAUGAGAGCCCUAAAGAGUUGUAUGUGAUGCUCAAGGAGCUCUUUGGGAAAUGGAUCCAGUCAAAAGGUUAAAGCAUCCAACAAGUAAGUGAAAUAAUCAUCCUACAACAAUAUUUGAGAAUGUUGUCCCUGAGCUUCAGGUAUGGAUCAAAGAGCAUGACACAGAUUCAGCAACGGAGGCUGCCAAGCUGGCUGAUGUCUUUGUGGCUGCACGGAAAAAGGGUCAACCAUGGAGCUACAAUGCAUUGAGGCAGACAAAGGACAGCCACAAACCAGCCCAACAGUUCCAACAGGGGGAAGCAUCCAGUGCAGGGCCUUGCUUGACUCUGGUACACAGGAAGUUUGUACCACCCAACAUUGUCAGCAGCAGUGACACCAUCUUUAUCUGUUGUGUUCAUGGAGAUGAGAAGCCUUAUCCAACAGCUGACAUCUACAGUAAGAACAAAGCAGACAGUGUAACGCUGUGGUAAACAGAAUGCAGGCCAUGCUGUUGGAGACCACACCUGGGAAUUCUCGGAAAACCCGCAGACAGAGAAGGCACAAGAAAUUCCAAGAGACAGUGAUGACACCAGCACUGAGCCAGAGUUACCACUAAGGUUUCAAGUUCCAGGUAAUAUAAGUGAUAUGCAGAAAACUGAUCUGUCUUUGGUCUCUCUUUUCCAGAAAGCGAAGAUGCCGGAAGCUGAGUUGGACAUCAUAACUGAUGAGAAUAUCCUGCAAAAUGGCAUCCUCUAUCGUCAAGAGUCAGCGUUGCAGCUAGAAACCAACCAGACCCUGAAACAGAUGCUCCGGAAGUUGGUAAACAACACUGGCACAGACUGGGAUCAACAGCUGCCAUACCUCCUUUUUUGCAGGGAAGUACCCAAUCCUCCACUGGUUUCUCUCCUUUUGAACUUCUGUAUAGACAUGAAGUUUGGGGGUUGUUGGCACUCUUGAGAGAUCUGGGAGGGGGCAAGGGGAGGGUGGGAUCUGUUAACGUUGUAUCCUAUGUCAUCCAGAUGAGAGAGCGACUGGAGAAAAUGGGUGAGCUGGCCCAAUCGCACGUGGCGGACGCCCAGCAGCAACACAAGUCCUGGUACGACAAGCCAGCCAGGCAGAGAUUCUUCACCCUGGACAGAAAGUGCUGGUGGUAAGAAACUGUUGGCUAAAUGGCAAGGACCGUUCAAAAUCCUUAAGAAACUUGGGCCAACCAGGUAUCGACACAAAGGCACUCACGCUCCAGUAGGGUACUUCACAUAAAUCUCUUAAGAGUGGGUGCUGCGACCUGAAAGAAAAACAGAAGUGAUGCUAUUAAGUGUGCUGGAUGAAGAAGUGGGUGAGCAAUACUUGGAGAAGGUGCUUCUGUGAGAAGGUUAAGUUACAGGAUCCCUGAGCGCCUGCUGGCCUCACUGAGGAGGGAAGUUAACCUGAUGCCUUCCCUGGGGAUCAUCGAGACUUCAAGGAGCUCGUGGUGUAACCCAAUGGUGCUUGUAACAAAGAAGGAUGGAAGCAUAAGGUUCUGCAUUGAUUUCAGGUACCUGAAUUGAAUUUCUCUCUUUGAUUCCUAUCCAACACCAAUAAUGUAUGAACUGCUUGAAAGGCAUAAUACUUGACGACAAUAGAUCUCUGCAAGGGUUAUUGGCAGAUUCCUCUCACCAAUCGGUCACAGGAGCUGACAGCCUUCAGGACACCAUGGGGCCCUUUCCAUUUCACAGUAAUACCAUUUGAGUUUCACAGCGCUCCAGCAACUUUACAGAGACUCAGACCAGGUAAUUUGUUAUUUCUCUGGUUUUGCUGCAGCAUAUCUAGAUGACAUUGUCAUUUACAGUAACACGUGGGAGGAACACCUGCAAGCUGUCUUGGAUCGCCUUCAUUCUGCCUGGCUGACUGUCAUCCUAUCGAAGUACCUAGGCCACGUCAUCAAUGGGGUUGUACGCCCUCAGGUCAACAAAAUCCAGGCCAUAGUCCUGUCCCCUGCCACAAACAAGGAAGCAGCUCUGAUCUUUUUUGGGCUAUCAGGCUUCUAUCACCGCUUCAUACCCAAUUUCUCCAACAGGGCAGCGCUUCUCACAGACUUGACUAGAUCCCGGAGUCCCAAUCAGAUCCAGUGGACAGAGAUGGCAGUGGCAGCUUUCAGUGAUAUCCAGCAACCUCUUCUGUACAGCCCAAACUUGGACGAACAUUUUCUGAUGCUUCUGACAGGGCUUUGGGAGCUGUGUUACUCCAGGGACUUCAGGAUGAUCAGCAUCCAGUCGCCUACAUCAGCUGGA
Non-coding RNA from Labrus bergylta (ballan wrasse), 3274 nucleotides. NCBI's taxonomy places the organism in Eukaryota, Metazoa, Chordata, Actinopteri, Labriformes, Labridae. The record is from RefSeq and is a predicted model, not a curated record.